GAACCUACGGGGCGCAGCAGUGGGGGAUAUUGCACAAUGGAGGAAACUCUGAUGCAGCGACGCCGCGUGAGGGAAGACGGUCUUCGGAUUGUAAACCUCUGUCUUUGGGGAAGAAAAUGACGGUACCCAAAGAGGAAGCUCCGGCUAACUACGUGCCAGCAGCCGCGGUAAUACGUAGGGAGCGAGCGUUGUCCGGAAUUACUGGGUGUAAAGGGAGCGCAGGCGGGAAGCCAAGUCAGCUG
Molecule: ribosomal RNA, 242 nt
Filed under: uncultured bacterium
Lineage: Bacteria
Description: partial 16S ribosomal RNA
Rfam family: Bacterial small subunit ribosomal RNA
Source: RNAcentral